ACACCUCAACUCCCAUGGUUCGCCAUGGUGAGCUUGGACUUUGGGGGUUUUGCUGGCCCAUGGUCAGCUCCUCUCAAAUGAAUUAGCCUGCCAGUGUUUGGUGGCAUCACAGGUGUGAUAAAUAUCUACGCUUGUGGUUUUCUGCCAGGUAACCUUUGGCAACAGAGGUUCAUUGGAGCUCAUAAACGUCUCUCCUCAGUGAGGACAGCUCUUUGAAU
RNAcentral lists this unclassified non-coding RNA (218 nucleotides) under uncultured Tomentella. RNAcentral's name for it is "sequence contains ITS2". Lineage: Eukaryota; Fungi; Basidiomycota; Agaricomycetes; Thelephorales; Thelephoraceae. The record is from RNAcentral.